UAGCUAGUUGGUGAGGUAAAGGCUUACCAAGGCGACGAUCUGUAGCGGGUCUGAGAGGAUGAUCCGCCACACUGGAACUGAGACACGGUCCAGACUCCUACGGGAGGCAGCAGUGGGGAAUUUUGGACAAUGGGGGCAACCCUGAUCCAGCCAUGCCGCGUGAGUGAAGAAGGCCUUCGGGUUGUAAAGCUCUUUCGGCCGGGAAGAAAUCGCAUGGGCCAAUACCCUGUGUGGAUGACGGUACCGGAAUAAGAAGCACCGGCUAACUACGUGCCAGCAGCCGCGGUAAUACGUAGGGUGCGAGCGUUAAUCGGAAUUACUGGGCGUAAAGCGUGCGCAGGCGGUUUUGUAAGACAGGCGUGAAAUCCCCGGGCUUAACCUGGGAACUGCGUUUGUGACUGCAAGGCUAGAGUACGGCAGAGGGGGGUGGAAUUCCACGUGUAGCAGUGAAAUGCGUAGAGAUGUGGAGGAACACCAAUGGCGAAGGCAGCCCCCUGGGUCGAUACUGACGCUCAUGCACGAAAGCGUGGGUAGCAAACAGGAUUAGAUACCCUGGUAGUCCACGCCCUAAACUAUGUCAACUAGGUGUUGGGUGGGUAAAACCAUUUAGUACCGUAGCUAACGCGUGAAGUUGACCGCCUGGGGAGUACGGCCGCAAGGUUAAAACUCAAAGGAAUUGACGGGGACCCGCACAAGCGGUGGAUGAUGUGGAUUAAUUCGAUGCAACGCGAAAAACCUUACCUACCCUUGACAUGCCAGGAACUUGCCAGAGAUGGCUUGGUGCCCGAAAGGGAGCCUGGACACAGGUGCUGCAUGGCUGUCGUCAGCUCGUGUCGUGAGAUGUUGGGUUAAGUCCCGCAACGAGCGCAACCCUUGUCGUUAAUUGCCAUCAUUUAGUUGGGCACUUUAACGAGACUGCCGGUGACAAACCGGAGGAAGGUGGGGAUGACGUCAAGUCCUCAUGGCCCUUAUGGGUAGGGCUUCACACGUCAUACAAUGGUCGGUACAAAGGGUUGCCAAGCCGCGAGGCGGAGCCAAUCCCAGAAAGCCGAUCGUAGUCCGGAUUGCAGGCUGCAACUUGCCUGCAUGAAGUCGGAAUCGCUAGUAAUCGUGGAUCAGCAUGUCACGGUGAAUACGUUCCCGGGUCUUGUACACACCGCCCGUCACACCAUGGGAGCGGGUUCCGCCAGAAGUAGGUAGCCUAACCGCAAGGGGGGCGCUUACCACGGCGGGGUUCGUGACUGGGGUGAAGUCGGAACAAGGUAGCCGUAGGGGAACCUGCGGCUG
Molecule: ribosomal RNA, 1287 nt
Filed under: metagenome
Description: bacterial SSU rRNA
Rfam family: Bacterial small subunit ribosomal RNA
Source: RNAcentral